GAGGAAUCUGGUGCUCAUUUACAUUGCGAUUCACUGGCCACCGGGACCUGUCACACAGAGAUGACAGGACACUGGAGCCAGGAGCAACUGUAAACAGGAGAAUCUGAAAAUUGAGUAUCUUUCAUUCUUCACUUGGUAUGAACUUCUAUUUGCCAGCAAGGAAAAAGCUGCAGAGGAUGGAGGCUCCUGCUACGAUUGACAGUCUUUGGCCGUCAAUUAAAUAUGGACCAGCCUUUUCUGGCUAACAGAACGCAGAGGAUACAGUGAGAUGCCUGAGGACUUGAGUAAUUUACUCUCUCUCCUGGAAUGCUGCCACUGCCACGAUAUUAAUCCAAAGGCUGUUCUAAUGGAAGAUCGGAGAUGACAUGGAGAAGGUCCCUCAUGGAGAAGCAAGGGCUAUUUUAGAUCAGACAUGCUCCCAAACAGGUGAGAAAAUGCAGAUCACAUUAACAACCCACAGAUGACCAUAAACAUGAGUGUGCCUUGCUGAGAAAUGAACCACUCUGCUGACCCUUGU
Long non-coding RNA from Manis javanica (Malayan pangolin), 517 nucleotides. RefSeq lists it as uncharacterized. NCBI's taxonomy places the organism in Eukaryota, Metazoa, Chordata, Mammalia, Pholidota, Manidae. The record is from RefSeq and is a predicted model, not a curated record.